GCCGGGGUGGCGAAACGGUAGCCGCGGGGGCCUUAAAAGCCCCUGCCCGUGAGGGCGUCAGGGUUCGAGUCCCUGUCCCGGCA
RNAcentral lists this transfer RNA (83 nucleotides) under Deltaproteobacteria bacterium. Its description in RNAcentral is "tRNA-Leu". It matches the Rfam family "tRNA". From Rfam's summary of the family: Transfer RNA (tRNA) molecules are approximately 80 nucleotides in length. Their secondary structure includes four short double-helical elements and three loops (D, anti-codon, and T loops). Further hydrogen bonds mediate the characteristic L-shaped molecular structure. tRNAs have two regions of fundamental functional importance: the anti-codon, which is responsible for specific mRNA codon recognition, and the 3' end, to which the tRNAs corresponding amino acid is attached (by aminoacyl-tRNA synthetases). tRNAs cope with the degeneracy of the genetic code in two manners: having more than one tRNA (with a specific anti-codon) for a particular amino acid; and 'wobble' base-pairing, i.e. permitting non-standard base-pairing at the 3rd anti-codon position. RNAcentral also lists the same sequence under 1 other name. Lineage: Bacteria; Pseudomonadati; Myxococcota; Myxococcia. The record is from RNAcentral.